This 84-nucleotide transfer RNA is filed under the name Oscillospiraceae bacterium. RNAcentral's name for it is "tRNA-Tyr". It matches the Rfam family "tRNA". Rfam says of the family: Transfer RNA (tRNA) molecules are approximately 80 nucleotides in length. Their secondary structure includes four short double-helical elements and three loops (D, anti-codon, and T loops). Lineage: Bacteria; Bacillati; Bacillota; Clostridia; Eubacteriales; Oscillospiraceae. The record is from RNAcentral.
GGAGGAGUUCCAGAGUGGUCAAAUGGGGCAGACUGUAAAUCUGUUGCUUCGGCUUCAUUGGUUCGAAUCCAAUCUCCUCCACCA